AAGGCUUUAGCUUAAUUAAAGUGUCUGUUUUGCAUGCAGAGGAUGCGGGGUAGUGUCUCGUAAGUCUUA
RNAcentral lists this transfer RNA (69 nucleotides) under Pseudaesopia japonica (wavyband sole). Its description in RNAcentral is "tRNA-Ala". It matches the Rfam family "tRNA". From Rfam's summary of the family: Transfer RNA (tRNA) molecules are approximately 80 nucleotides in length. Their secondary structure includes four short double-helical elements and three loops (D, anti-codon, and T loops). Lineage: Eukaryota; Metazoa; Chordata; Actinopteri; Pleuronectiformes; Soleidae. The record is from RNAcentral.